Molecule: long non-coding RNA, 2976 nt
Filed under: Fragaria vesca (wild strawberry)
Lineage: Eukaryota; Viridiplantae; Streptophyta; Magnoliopsida; Rosales; Rosaceae
Description: long non-coding RNA (FVES_LNC003237)
Source: RNAcentral
UGUAUCUUAAAAACCAGAUCUUGGAAAGCAGUCAUAUUGCACUUGUAUUGGCAAUAUGAUUCUUCUUUUUCAAAAUGUGUUGGAGCUUUCAUUCUCUUUAGUAUUGGCAAUAUGAUUGUUCUUUUUCAAAAUGUGUUGGAGCUUUCAUUCUCUUUAGUCCUUUUUGCACCUACAGACGGUAGCAUAUUCAUAUUCUUACAUUCCUAAACACACAAACAUUCCAAGUAAGUGCAGUAGCAAUUACAAAUCAAAUCAAUAGACCGCACAUUCAUAACAACAAACACUUGCUCAAUUUUAUACAAUCGAUAGCAUGAUCCAGAGCCGACAAUAAUUUUCUCUUAGUAUUAAAAUCAUAUUACAACUAGAAUUCGACAGUUGCAGACACAUCAAACAAGAAAAAGCUAGAAAUGAAUUUUAGACAUUUCCUCAUUUCAUGUAAUGGAAUUUCCUCAUUUUAGAUAUCAAAUCAUAAAUCACACUACCAGGACAAGCACUUUAGCCGACGAAAAAUUUUCGUCGGCCUGUUAGCUUAAUUCGUCGGCUAAGAUCUUAGCCGACGAGCCAUUGUCGGCUAAGAUUUCGUCGGGAAAAGGUCGUCUGUGAUGACUUUAGCCGACGAAAAAAAAAAUUUCGUCGGCUAUAGUCCCGCAGUUUAGCCGACGAAGAACAUGUCGUCGGUUUUUUUACCAGACUUUAGCUGACGAAACAAUUAAGAUAUUCGUCAGCUAAGGUCUGUAAUAAAAAAAUUUUUCCCAGACUAUAGCCGACGAAAUAUAGUAUGUUUCGUCGGCUAAACCUUAUAAAAAAAUUUAAAAAAUAACUAUAGCCGACGAAAUAUAGUUUGUUUCGUCGGCUAAACCUUAUAAAAAAUUUUUAAAAAUAACUAUAGCCGACGAAAUAUAGUCUGUUUCGUCGGCUAAACCUUAUAAAAAAUUUUAAAAAUAACUAUAGUCGACGAAAUAUGCCAUAAUUUGUCGGCUAAACCUUAUAAAAAAAUUUAAAAAUACUAUAGCCGACGAAUAAACCUUUAAAUAUCGUCGGCUAAACCUUUAAAUAUCGUCGGCUAAAGUUGCUGGUUUUUGAAAAAAAAAAACUGCAGAAACUUUCAGCCACCUCCAAUCACCACCAAAAUUUGACAGAAUCUUCCUCUCAACAUUUCGAACAACUUUCUAGAAGAAGUCGAAGCCCAAUUCUAAGCCUAAACAGAUCAAUUGAAUCAAAAUAUAAAAAUCCCCCAAUUUUUAAACCCCUAAAAACUUCAAAAUCUUCGAUUCUCCUCACACACACCGAAUCGAGCUACCAAAUUCUAGGGGAAUGUAGUACUAAUCAAACUCAACUUAUCCAUAUAUAGAACUCACCAAAUGGUNNNNNNNNNNNNNNNNNNNNAAAAAAAACUGCAGAAACUUUCAGCCACCUCCAAUCACCACCAAAAUUUGACAGAAUCUUCCUCUCAACAUUUCGAACAACUUUCUAGAAGAAGUCGAAGCCCAAUUCUAAGCCUAAACAGAUCAAUUGAAUCAAAAUAUAAAAAUCCCCAAUUUUAAACCCUAAAAACUUCAAAUCUUCGAUUCUCCUCACACACACCGAAUCGAGCUACCAAAUUCUAGGGGAAUGUAGUACUAAUCAAACUCAACUUAUCCAUAUAUAGAACUCACCAAAUGGUAACCUGAGGAAGGAGAAAUUCGAUCGACACCGAAUCCUAACCGGCGGAGUUUUAGAGCUCGAUUUAUCUCUCACGGCGGCGCCACUUGAUACACCACCUAUCCAGCAAUGAAGUAGAGACGACGGCGAAGCUUUUGGGACAAGUGUGGCGGUCUCCGGUGGCUUGACGGCGGAGCUAGGCCGAGAAGAAAAUCUAGCAGGCGAAAUAGACUUCUUACCAUCCACCUUCGGUAAAACUCCUAUAUAAAGAACUUUAGUUGAGGAAAUUCUUUAUUUUCGUCGGCUAAACUCUUUUGAAAAUUUUGAAAAUUUUGGUUGACCGCCAAAAAAUUUUGGUUGAAAAUUUUGAAAAUUUUUCAACUUUAGCCGACGACUUUUCAUAUAUUUUCGUCAGCUAAAGUCCUUUGAAAAUUUUCCUCCAAAUUUGGUUUACCGCCCAAAAAUUUUUGACUUUAGCCGACGACUUUUUUAAUAUCUUGUCGGCUAAAGUCUAUAAAUUCACGAAAACGCUCAUAUCUCCCUCUAUAUUACGUAGUUUGGUCAAACCUUCCACACGAAAAACUUUCACGUAGAUGAGACGCAACCGCCUAUAUAAAAAUUUUGAGAUAUUUGCCUUCCGACGAUAGGGCUCCCCAUAGGGAAUAAUAACGGUAAAAAGGGUUGACCGCUACUAUCAGCACCAAGACUUUACCCGAUUUACGUGAUUUUUGAAUCAUAGCCGUAUUUCACCAUUCUGAACACAUCUUAUUUCAAGAGAUUUUUGAUAAUUUUGCUUCCUAUAUAGAGUUGGUUCACAAAGUUGUAUAACCUACUAAACAAGUUAUACAACAUUAGUAGACACAUUGUGAUUCCGAUGACUAAAAUUCACAAACCAAAAUUCGACGGUCAGAUAUGGUCAUUAUGACGAAAGAUGUCUAUGGUAAAAAAUUCAACUGGAUCCUACAACGUUAAGGACUCGAUCGAAACGGGUAACCAUAAUCCAUCGUCACUUAUCACACGAAAACGCUCAUAUCUCCCUCUAUAUUACGUGGUUUGGUCAAACCUUCCACACAAAAAACUCUCACGUAGAUGAGACGCAACUGCCCAUAUAAAAAUUUUGAGACAUUUACCUUCUGACGAUAGGGCUCCCCAUAGGGAAUAAUAACGGUAAAUAGUAGACACGUUCUGAUUCCGAUGACUAAAAUUUACAAACCAAAAUUCGACCGUCCGAUAUGAUCAUUAUGACGAAAGAUGUCUAUGGUAAAAAAUUCAACUGGAUUCGACAACAUUAAGGGCUCGAUCGAAACGGUCAACUCUAAUCAGAAAUAAGAAAAC